This 451-nucleotide ribosomal RNA is filed under the name uncultured bacterium. RNAcentral describes it as "bacterial SSU rRNA". It matches the Rfam family "Bacterial small subunit ribosomal RNA", at positions 355 to 825 of the family's 1533-position model. The record is from RNAcentral.
UCAAGAAACUUCCACAAUGGGCGAAAGCCUGAUGGAGCGACGUCGCGUGAUGGACGAAGUGCUUCGGCACGUAAACAUCUUUUUAUGUGGGAUGAAAUUAUUGACAGUACCACAUGAAUAAGGGGCUCCUAACUCUGUGCCAGCAGGAGCGGUAAUACAGAGGCCCCAAGCGUUAUCCGGAAUCACUGGGCGUAAAGAGUGCGUAGGCGGUUGGGUAAGUUAGAUUUGAAAGCCCGGGGCUCAACUCCGGAUCCGGAUCUAAAACUGCCCGACUGGAGCGAAUCAGAGGACAACGGAAUUCCCGGUGUAGCGGUAAUAUGCGUAGAUAUCGGGAGGAACACCAGUGGCGAAGGCGGUUGUCUGGGGUUUUGCUGACGCUGAGGCACGAAAGCCAGGGGAGCGAACGGGAUUAGAUACCCACGUAGUCCCUGAGCGGGCUGGCAAGGCGCAU